CAGUAGCCGCGGUAAUACGAAGGUCCCGAGCGUUGUUCGGAAUCACUGGGCGUAAAGGGAGCGUAGGCGGCGUGGUAAGUCAGAUGUGAAAUCCCGGGGCUCAACCCCGGAACUGCAUCCGAUACUGCCGUGCUAGAGGAUUGGAGAGGUAGCUGGAAUUCUUGGUGUAGCAGUGAAAUGCGUGGAGAUCAAGAGGAACACUCGUGGCGAAAGCGAGCUACUGGACAAUAUCUGACGCUGAGGCUCGAAGGCCAGGGUAGCGAAAGGGAUUAGAUACCCCAGUAGUCCCUGUCUCUUAUAC
This 301-nucleotide ribosomal RNA is filed under the name uncultured bacterium. RNAcentral describes it as "partial 16S ribosomal RNA". It matches the Rfam family "Bacterial small subunit ribosomal RNA", at positions 509 to 807 of the family's 1533-position model. The record is from RNAcentral.